UCUUGGCUGAUUUCUUUUGAUUUUCCCAUGAUGUCAAGCAAAGAGGCACUGAGUUUGAAGGUAGGCCUCGGAAUACAUCCACAGGUACACCUCCAAUUGGCUAAAAUGAUGUCAAUUAGCCCAUCAGAAGCUUCUAAAGCCAUGAAAUCAUUUUCUGGAAUUUUACAAGCUGUUUAAAGGCACAGUCAACUUAGUGUAUGUAAACUUCUGACCCACUGCAAUUGUGAUACAUUGAAUUAUAAGUUAAAAAAAUUGUCUGUAAACAAUUGUUGGAAAAAUGACUUGUGUCAUGCACAAAGUAGGUGUCCUAACCGACUUGCCAAAACUAUAGUUUGUUAAUAAGAAAUUUGUGGAGUGGUUGAAAAACUAGUUUUAAUGACUCCAACCUAAAUGUAUGUAAACUUCCGACUUCAACUGUACAUGCCAUUUCUACAAUCUCUUUUCAGGUUUCACUCAUGUUCCUUGGGAGCUUUCCAGUGAGAGAACAUCUCAUAACAUGGUGGGAGCAACCAACCCAUAUCCUGCACCUCCCAGCUCUCACCACCUCAGUGUAAUGGAGUAAACUCUGGAGUCUUAUUGUACCUCCCUGAUCUUCUCAUCCCCUCUUCUCCCUCUCUUUUACUCUCUCUCUCCCUCUCUCCCUCCCUCUCUCCCUCUCUUUUACUCUCUCUCCCUCCCCCUCUCUCCUCUUUUACUCUCUCCUCUUGUACUCUCUCCUCUCUCUCUCCUCUCUCUCUCUCUUUUUCCAUGUGAACACUCACUGCAGUCCCCUGUCCCUAAAGCACAUCACAACUACCACUGAGCCAAUAGUUUGUUGCUGCUAUCAAAUAUUACAUGUGCCUAUUCACAGCUCUGUUGUAGAGGAAGAUAUUGUAUAGUGAUGUAACUCUGCAGGAGUGCAUUCUGGGUAAGCGUCACAAAUGGCACCCUAUUCCCUAUAUAGUCCACUACUUUGGACCAGGGCCCAUAGUGCUCUGACCAAAACUAGUGCACUAUGUAGGGAAUAGGGUGCCAUUUUGGACUUAACCUGGCUGUCAAUAUUUGCCCGAUACCACAUAAAGGACUGGCUUUGGGAAAUCUAGAAACAUUUACAGCAUCUGUUACCCACAGGGCCUCUGUUAAUAAAAGCAUGUCAGACAACGAGUGCUGAUCUAGAAUCAGUUGUCCCUUUUAGAAUAUAAUGAAUAAGAUUAUACGGUCAGUGAGGGUCUGAUCUUAGACCAGCAUUUUGGGAUGAAAUGCUUUGUGAAUACGGGCCCUGAAUGCAUCUUAGAAUGAGUCCACUCUUAGCAAUAAUGUACUAACAUUAGACUAGAGAUUAAACGUGGACAUCUGUAACACUAGAAUGGACACUGGCAUCCUGGCAACAUGGCUAUAGGACAGCCAUCUUGGUCAGGGGAAUCUUUCUUUCUAGAGACUCCUCCAACAUGGUGACACAGUAGAUAGAUCGCUAUGAUCAGAACAUGGUACUGAUCACUAUGGUCAGAACAUGGUACUGAUCACUAUGGUCAGAACAUGGUACAGAUCGCUAUGAUCAGAACAUGGUAUUGAUCACUAUGGUCAGAACAUGGUACAGAUCACUAUGGUCAGAACAUGGUACUGAUCACUAUGGUCAGAACAUGGUACAGAUCACUAUGAUCAGAACAUGGUACAGAUCACUAUGGUCAGAACACUAUGGUCAGAACAUGGUACAGAUCGCUAUGGUCAGAACAUGGUACUGAUCACUAUGGUCAGAUCACUAUGGUCAGAACAUGGUACAGAUCUCUCAUGUACACUACCAUAAUCUUGUCUUAUGAAUACACUGACACUGGGAAAAACUGCUUAAAGGUAUUUCAUUAAUUAAUAUCUUCUAUAUAUAUAUAUCUGCACAUGCAGUUUAUAUGUACAAAACAUUCAAUACAGGAGAUCUUACUGUAGAUAAUUCGAAGAGACAAAAAUACAACAAUACGAAUAAGAAAAAUGGCUAGGGGAGGAGGAGGUGGCUAGGGGAGGAGGAGGUGACUAGGGGUAGAGGAGGUGACUAGGGGUAGUGGAGGUGACUAGGGGAGGAGGAGGUGACUAGGGGUAGAGGAGGUGACUAGGGGAGGAGGAGGUGACUAGGGGAGGAGGAGGUGACUAGGGGAGGAGGAGGUGACUAGGGGAGGAGGAGGUGACUAGGGGAGGAGGAGGUGACUAGGGGAGGAGGAGGUGACUAGGGGUAGAGGAGGUGACUAGGGGUAGUGGAGGUGACUAGGGGAGGAGGAGGUGACUAGGGGAGGAGGAGGUGACUAGGGGUAGAGGAGGUGACUAGGGGUAGUGGAGGUGACUAGGGGAGGAGGAGGUGACUAGGGGAGGAGGAGGUGACUAGGGGAGGAGGAGGUGACUAGGGGUAGAGGAGGUGACUAGGGGUAGUGGAGGUGACUAGGGGAGGAGGAGGUGACUAGGGGAGGAGGAGGUGACUAGGGGAGGAGGAGGUGACUAGGGGUGGAGGAGGUGACUAGGGGUGGAGGAGGUGACUAGGGGUGGAGGAGGUGACUAGGGGUGGAGGAGGUGACAUGGGGUAGAGGAGGUGACUAGGGGUGGAGGAGGUGACUAGGGGAGGAGGAGGUGACUAGGGGUAGAGGAGGUGACUAGGGGUAGUGGAGGUGACUAGGGGUAGAGGAGGUGACUAGGGGUAGUGGAGGUGACUAGGGGAGGAGGAGGUGACUAGGGGAGGAGGAGGUGACUAGGGGUGGAGGAGGUGACUAGGGGAGGAGGAGGUGACUAGGGGUGGAGGAGGUGACUAGGGGAGGAGGAGGUGACUAGGGGAGGAGGAGGUGACUAGGGGAGGAGGAGGUGACUAGGGGUAGAGGAGGUGACUAGGGGUAGAGGAGGUGGGCUGUUGGAGGAGGUGACUAGGGGUAGAGGAGGUGGGCUGUUGGAGGAGGUGACUAUGGGUAGAGGAGGUGGGGUGUUGGAGGAGGUGACUAGGGGUAGAGGAGGUGACUAGGGGUAGAGGAGCUGGGGUGUUUGAGGGGUACAGGCUGGUCUCAGUACAGGCUGGUCUUAUAACCGCACAACACCCUGGUCUAGUCUCAGUACAGGCUGGU
Molecule: long non-coding RNA, 3068 nt
Organism: Oncorhynchus keta (chum salmon)
Lineage: Eukaryota; Metazoa; Chordata; Actinopteri; Salmoniformes; Salmonidae
Exons: 4
Source: RefSeq, a predicted model, not a curated record